Molecule: ribosomal RNA, 324 nt
Filed under: uncultured eukaryote
Lineage: Eukaryota
Description: partial 18S ribosomal RNA
Rfam family: Eukaryotic small subunit ribosomal RNA
Source: RNAcentral
CCCUUAGAUGUUCUGAACCGCACGCGUGUUACACUGAUGCAUUCAACGAGCUUUACCUUGGCCGAGAGGCCUGGGAAAUCUUUUUAGCAUGCAUCGUGAUAGGGAUUGAUUAUUGCAAUUAUUAAUCAUGAACGAGGAAUUCCUAGUAAACGCAUUUCAUCAAAAUGCAUUGAUUACGUCCCUGCCCUUUGUACACACCGCCCGUCGCGCCUACCGAUUGAGUGGUCCGGUGAAGUCUCGAGAUUGUGGCAAUCUCCUUUAUUGGAGUUUGACUGCGAGAACUUGCCUAAACCUUAUCACUUAGAGGAAGGUGAAGUCGUAACA